GUCUACAGCCAUACCACCCUGAACAAGCCCAAUGUCUGAUCUUGGAAGCUAAGCAGGGUUGGACUUGGUUAGUACUUGAAUAGGAGACCACCUACCAAGACCAGGUGCCGUAGGCG
RNAcentral lists this ribosomal RNA (116 nucleotides) under Pteropus alecto (black flying fox). The record is from RNAcentral. Lineage: Eukaryota; Metazoa; Chordata; Mammalia; Chiroptera; Pteropodidae.